This is a long non-coding RNA of Lemur catta (Ring-tailed lemur), 1846 nucleotides long. RefSeq lists it as uncharacterized. Lineage: Eukaryota; Metazoa; Chordata; Mammalia; Primates; Lemuridae. The record is from RefSeq and is a predicted model, not a curated record. The transcript has 2 exons.
GAAACUUUGUUUAUAAAUUACAGAACUGGAGCAUGAACUCAUCUGAAAGAUGCUACACAUGGCAAUUGAAAUAUUCUUAGAAAUUAUGCAGAUUUCCCUGAAUUUAUUGCAACCUACCUGAAUACGGACGAUUUUCUGACCUCUUCAGUCACAGCUUUUAUUUCACAGCUCUACUAGCAAUACACCAUGGAAUACAAGCAACACUAUGAAAAACAAGGGCCCGAUAAAGCCCACAAAAAAGCUAUUGACUAAUAUUGGCACUACUUUUAGUCAUGCUAUUAUAGAUCACACUUUAUUUUUGUGCAUAAUAAAUACAGAAAAAUGUUGAAAAUGUAUGUAUGACUCAACCAUCUAAUUAAAGCUGAGCAACUAACCUAAUCAGGUUUUAGUUUUUCAAUGAGAAAUGACAAUAGUUGAAAAUAAAGAAAAACAAAAAGAACUUUACUUUCCUAUGUUAAUACAGGUCAAGGGACCCUUUCUUCUCAAAAGGGUUGAUAACACCAGUUCUUAGCAAUAAACAUAAGGCACUUGUUUAGAUUACAGCAUCACUGCAUUUCUUUCCCACUUGUUUUUCUAACCCUGUUUUUCCCCACAGUAUCAUUUGAAAUUAAAAGAAUAAACGAGGCAAAUGUGAGAUGAUCCAGUUGAUACUACUCAGAGCAAGAUAAUACAGUACACAAUGUUUUAGGGGUGCCGUCUGGACAUAAAAUGAACCCAGUCAAGGUCCUUUGACACCAGACAACGUAUCCACUAUCAAGUAAACCUGAAAGAAAAUAAAAGAUUUAUUCAAUAGUUCCAGUAAAAUUGGGAUGGAAUACAAUAUACAUGUUAGGAAUUUAGCUCCUUACGGGUGGCAUCUGCAUUAAGAAUUCUGAGUAUUUAUGAAUAUUCAUUCUAAGACAAUCUACAUCAUUUGAACAUUGUCAAGACAAAUAGAUGAAUCCAUUUCGAUAUACAGUAGAGUUUAAACAAAAGUCACACGUACACCCCCUAUUAUAUGGCUGGUGCCUCCUCCAAACACCUCAUUAGUGGCAGAGGUAGCACUAGUGUUCUUCCCCAACAAUAAGAACUUCAGUUGCCACACAUAGGAGAAGUUGAAAAGGUUUUGUCUUUUUGCCAUCUGUUAAGAUGUUCCUGAGACAGGGCCAGUUAAUAAAACAUAACAAAGCACUGGAGUUCAGUUUGAACUUUUCUUUACAUCACUAAACUGUUAGACUGGGAUGUCGAAUGCAGGUCAUGUACUAUGAAAGGCUGAUUUAGCACAACUGUUCAAUCAAUGAAAGGAUCAGGCCUUCUGAAAAUUCCCUUUAGAGUACACUUUCUAUAAACUAAAAGUACCACAAAAAAGUCAAUUAUAUAUACAAUUGGUUCAUUGUACUUUAAUCUUAUUUGCUCAGAUCUUGCAAAUGCAAUGAGAAUAUUAAGCCUGAGACUAGCUCUCAGUGUACAGGUUUAACAUGUUAAGGCUCAUUUUCCCAGUCAAAAUAGUUUUUAGUUUUCCUUUCAAAUUAUGAAUUACAUUCAUAGUACCUGCCACCAACCUAGUCCUCAAUGAAAUCUUAAUGCAGGAGCAGCACUCUACUUAUGGAAUUUCCCCUGACAUCAGCACUUAGCCCCUUCUAAAAAGCUCCCAUCUGUACUUGCCUUACAGCACACUACACUGCCUCUUGCUUACACCUCUGUUUCCACCUGUGUAUUUUCACAGAAGCCCAACACAGAUAGGUUGAAAUAUUCACACAACUGUUUUUCAAAAGAAUUUAUUGCAUCAUAUUUGGUACCUUAUGUUUGACAACAAAAAGGAAAUUACAUCUGUAACUGCAGGAAAAAGAAGCUGGUCUGUUAUUUG